RNAcentral lists this ribosomal RNA (253 nucleotides) under uncultured bacterium. RNAcentral's name for it is "partial 16S ribosomal RNA". It matches the Rfam family "Bacterial small subunit ribosomal RNA", at positions 524 to 776 of the family's 1533-position model. The record is from RNAcentral.
UACGUAGGGGGCUAGCGUUGUCCGGAAUCAUUGGGCGUAAAGCGCGCGUAGGCGGCCCGGUAAGUCCGCUGUGAAAGUCAAAGGCUCAACCUUUGAAUGUCAGCGGAUACUGCCGGGCUAGAGUCCGGAAGAGGCGAGUGGAAUUCCUGGUGUAGCGGUGGAAUGCGCAGAUAUCAGGAGGAACACCAACGGCGAAGGCAGCUCGCUAGGACGGUACUGACGCUAAGGCGCGAAAGCGUGGGGAGCGAACAGG